AAAAAAAAAAAAAUAAAGGAAUAAUAUCAUUUUUAGUGGAUCCGCUGUCAACUCAUAGCAAACGUUCCAUCAUAUUCUACAUCGAGCUUCUCUUUGGUUUAAGGCUUGUAAUGGGAUUGAUCUAUUAGCAGGGCAGGCUAUUAUCAUCUCAGUUGAUUCCAUUCAACGAUACUCUAAUCGACAACUGAACAUAAAGGUAAUUUACUAUGGCAACCCCCUCCUUACUCAUUUCUGAAAUGGAAUGUUGAUGGAUCUUUGCUAGAGAAGCCAGGACGCUCGGGUGUUGGGGGGAGUUUUAAGAGAUUGUAAUGGUAAUAUUUCAUCGAUGUUUUCAAUCUCUCUUGGUGUGAUGGAAUCAAAUGAAGCAGAAAUUAAAGCUAUUGAAAAGGCACUCCAAGUUAUAGAUAAGUGUUCUGGGAUUAUUAUUGAAUUUGAUUCUGCUAAUGCUAUUUCUUACGUUAAAGGCGACUAUUGUCUGAGACUUUGGAGGUUUGGUUCGAUUUUCAAUAAUAUUGAUAAUCACCUCAGCGAAUUGAAUAAGGUAACAAUUGUUUUUCAACAUAUUUUCAGGGAAACGAACUAAUGGCUAGAUCAUACUUGCUGGUUUUUGUUGGUAUAUGAUGAUGGAUCUUGGUUUUGAACAGGGUGGGGGUCUCUUUGGCUUUCACCCUUCGUGUAUUAAGUUUAAGUUGUUUUGGUUACUCUUGAUGUAAUGUUCUGUUCAAUGAUAUUGAGGGAUUUUUUGUAAUAUGGAACUUGGGUAAUGGGUGUAUUGGAGAAGCUUGCUGGCUUGGGUUUAGUCCGCUCGGUAUUGCAAGCUUUUCCCCUCAUCCUUUUUUAAU
This 842-nucleotide unclassified non-coding RNA is filed under the name Hevea brasiliensis (rubber tree). Lineage: Eukaryota; Viridiplantae; Streptophyta; Magnoliopsida; Malpighiales; Euphorbiaceae. The record is from RNAcentral.